CGGACGGGUGAGUAACGCGUGAGAAUCUGCCUUUAGGUCCGGGACAACCACUGGAAACGGUGGCUAAUACCGGAUGUGCCGCAACGUGAAAGGGGAAACCCGCCUGAAGAUGAGCUCGCGUCUGAUUAGCUAGUUGGUGAGGUAAAGGCUCACCAAGGCGACGAUCAGUAGCUGGUCUGAGAGGAUGAUCAGCCACACUGGGACUGAGACACGGCCCAGACUCCUACGGGAGGCAGCAGUGGGGAAUUUUCCGCAAUGGGCGAAAGCCUGACGGAGCAAGACCGCGUGGGGGAGGAAGGUCUGUGGAUUGUAAACCCCUUUUGUCAAGGAAGAACACAAUGACGGUACUUGACGAAUCAGCCUCGGCUAACUCCGUGCCAGCAGCCGCGGUAAUACGGAGGAGGCAAGCGUUAUCCGGAUUUAUUGGGCGUAAAGCGUCCGCAGGUGGUUUAUCAAGUCUGCUGUUAAAGCGCGGAGCUUAACUUCGUACAGGCAGUGGAAACUGAUGAACUUGAGUGUGAUAGGGGCAGAGGGAAUUCCCAGUGUAGCGGUGAAAUGCGUAGAGAUUGGGAAGAACACCGGUGGCGAAAGCGCUCUGCUGGGUCAUUACUGACACUGAGGGACGAAAGCUAGGGGAGCGAAAGGGAUUAGAUACCCCUGUAGUC
This 665-nucleotide ribosomal RNA is filed under the name uncultured bacterium. Its description in RNAcentral is "bacterial SSU rRNA". It matches the Rfam family "Bacterial small subunit ribosomal RNA", at positions 99 to 795 of the family's 1533-position model. The record is from RNAcentral.